Molecule: non-coding RNA, 152 nt
Organism: Arachis ipaensis
Lineage: Eukaryota; Viridiplantae; Streptophyta; Magnoliopsida; Fabales; Fabaceae
Source: RefSeq, a predicted model, not a curated record
GGUAAGAAAUUAUGUUUUGAAAGCCCUACGUUAGUGUCCCGUACGUGUAUUAAAGCCCUUACGGUAUUAAUGUUCUUAGAGUUUAGUAACUGAGGUUGCUUGUUGUAAUUUAGAGCUGUUUAUGCUGCUGCGAAAAUAAAAUUCGAGUUGAG